This 72-nucleotide transfer RNA is filed under the name Chromochloris zofingiensis. RNAcentral's name for it is "tRNA-Ala". It matches the Rfam family "tRNA". From Rfam's summary of the family: Transfer RNA (tRNA) molecules are approximately 80 nucleotides in length. Their secondary structure includes four short double-helical elements and three loops (D, anti-codon, and T loops). Lineage: Eukaryota; Viridiplantae; Chlorophyta; Chlorophyceae; Sphaeropleales; Chromochloridaceae. The record is from RNAcentral.
GGGAAUGUAGCUUAGUUGGUAUAGCACCUGUUUUGCAAGCAGGGGGUCUCCGGUUCGAGUCCGGACAUUUCC